Molecule: non-coding RNA, 1197 nt
Organism: Paramuricea clavata
Lineage: Eukaryota; Metazoa; Cnidaria; Anthozoa; Malacalcyonacea; Plexauridae
Source: the annotation of a GenBank genome assembly
CGACAUUAUAAACUUACCGAGCUUCGUUAACUCCGCUAUAGGCUCACCGUCUCUACCAACGCGGGGUUUUGCAUCAGUCUUGAUUCGAGAAAAAUCACCGCUACUUAAGACAACAUGGAUUGGAAGCUGUGCUUUAACAUCAUCUUCUACUAUUUCAACUCCUCCCAAAUGUGGAUACUUCUUGAUCACUUCUUCAUAACAUGGGUUAUCAACGAAUAGUAGCUCUUGCUUUUUUAUCUUUGUCAAAUUCACGGACAUUCGAAAGUCCCCAGUAACUGCUUCAACAACUGCUUCAUAAGUCUCCAACAAUGCUUCCUGAGAGUCCAUCAGCAUAUCAACUCGUUUCCUCGCUACUUCAACUGGUUUCUUUUCCAGCAGAUUAAUUAGUUUUGCAGAAGCAUAGGAGCUCCCUGCUCCGGAGUCGAUCAGAGCUCUGCAUUCAACGCCAUCCACUUUCAUUCUAACAACAGGAAAGAUUCCUUCCGGAUUCACCUCACAUGAAAUUAGCAAUUUCUUCCCCUUCACUCCACUCUUGGAAUCAUUAUCACAAAUUGAGGUGUGGUGACGCCGCCCACAUUUUUGACAUUUUGACUGACUUGGGCAAUCAGUCGCAUGGUGUGAUGAACCAGUGCAGUUAUAACACAGAUGUUGUUUGGUAAGAAUCAACCGUCUUUCAGACACAGAUGAUACUUUUGGGCACUCUGCUGAUUUGUGUGAUUUCUCAGUACAAUAGACACACCCCUUGUGAGUAAAAUCUUGACGUCGGACAUUAAGCAGCUUCCCUGAAAGAAGCUUCUCAACUGGGUUUCGCCGAGUCCAGAGUCUCACCGCAUCAGACAGUUUUACAAAGUCCCAGGAUUCCCAAGCAUCAUCUGUUCGAACAAGGUCGCCACGUAUUCCAGGUAGUUUGUCUAGUGUCAUCGAUACAUACCCAUUGACUUGAGAAAGUUUGUCAAGUGUUUCCAAAGACUGCACCGCAUAUGAUAAUCUAUCAGAGAACGCAUGAAUUCGCUUCACAUUGCCAUCCGGGAUUUUGGACAAAUCAAAAAUCUGCUUGGUAUAAGCCUUUAUUAUUUCUGAUUGUUUCCCAUAUCUGUCUUGAAGGAUACUCUUUGCUCUAUUAUAACCUUCACUUGUAAAAGGUAGUGAUUCCACAGAUUUCCUGAUUUUAGGUUCCAACAACUCUUGUAAAUAUGC